GCCACCCUAGCUCAGUUGGUCAGAGCAACUGUUUUGUAAACAGUAGGUCGUCGGUUCGACUCCGACGGGUGGCUCCA
This 77-nucleotide transfer RNA is filed under the name bacterium. RNAcentral's name for it is "tRNA-Thr". It matches the Rfam family "tRNA". Rfam says of the family: Transfer RNA (tRNA) molecules are approximately 80 nucleotides in length. Their secondary structure includes four short double-helical elements and three loops (D, anti-codon, and T loops). Further hydrogen bonds mediate the characteristic L-shaped molecular structure. tRNAs have two regions of fundamental functional importance: the anti-codon, which is responsible for specific mRNA codon recognition, and the 3' end, to which the tRNAs corresponding amino acid is attached (by aminoacyl-tRNA synthetases). tRNAs cope with the degeneracy of the genetic code in two manners: having more than one tRNA (with a specific anti-codon) for a particular amino acid; and 'wobble' base-pairing, i.e. permitting non-standard base-pairing at the 3rd anti-codon position. The record is from RNAcentral.